GAUGAACGCUGGCGGCGUGCUUAACACAUGCAAGUCGAACGAAGAUGACUAGAAUGAGAGUUUCGGCAGGAUUUCUUCUCAUCUUAGUGGCGGACGGGUGAGUAACGUGUGGGCAACCUGCCCUAUACUGGGGAAUAAUCACUGGAAACGGUGACUAAUACCGCAUGUCAUUGCGAGAGGGCAUCCUCUUGCAAGAAAGGAGUAAUUCGGUAUAGGAUGGGGCCCGCAUCUGAUUAGCUAGUUGGUGAGAUAGCAGCCCACCAAGGCGACGAUCAGUAGCCGACCUGAGAGGGUGAUCGGGCCACAUUGGGACUGGAGACACGGGCCCAAACUCCUACGGGAGGCAGCAGGUGGGGAAUAUUGCACAAGUGGGGAAACCCUGAUGCAGCAACGCCGCGUGAAGGAUGGAAGGUUUUCGGAUCGUAAACUUC
Molecule: ribosomal RNA, 431 nt
Filed under: uncultured bacterium
Lineage: Bacteria
Description: bacterial SSU rRNA
Rfam family: Bacterial small subunit ribosomal RNA
Source: RNAcentral